RNAcentral lists this ribosomal RNA (129 nucleotides) under Citrobacter koseri. Its description in RNAcentral is "partial 16S ribosomal RNA". It matches the Rfam family "Bacterial small subunit ribosomal RNA", at positions 1 to 122 of the family's 1533-position model. Lineage: Bacteria; Pseudomonadati; Pseudomonadota; Gammaproteobacteria; Enterobacterales; Enterobacteriaceae. RNAcentral also lists the same sequence under 9 other names. The record is from RNAcentral.
AAAUUGAAGAGUUUGAUCAUGGCUCAGAUUGAACGCUGGCGGCAGGCCUAACACAUGCAAGUCGAACGGUAACAGGAAGCAGCUUGCUGCUUUGCUGACGAGUGGCGGACGGGUGAGUAAUGUCUGGGA